Molecule: long non-coding RNA, 188 nt
Organism: Perca flavescens (yellow perch)
Lineage: Eukaryota; Metazoa; Chordata; Actinopteri; Perciformes; Percidae
Exons: 2
Source: RefSeq, a predicted model, not a curated record
GCUUUGUCAUUAACACUUUGACAGAGUGCCAGACCUUGUCGAAAGAUUUAAAAGCUUCCAUGUAAUAUGUCAAAGUGACUCCAAUAGAUGAAUAGAGCCGGCCACUGGAUUCCUGGAGGAAAGGCUGCGGAACGUCAGGAAGCGGCUGAGAUCAACCAGCAGGUCGCAGAGCACGGCACAGACACCAC